This 524-nucleotide ribosomal RNA is filed under the name uncultured bacterium. RNAcentral's name for it is "partial 16S ribosomal RNA". It matches the Rfam family "Bacterial small subunit ribosomal RNA", at positions 28 to 523 of the family's 1533-position model. The record is from RNAcentral.
GACGAACGCUGGCGGCGUGCCUAAUACAUGCAAGUCGAGCGCAGGAAACUGACGGAACUCUUCGGAGGGAAGGCAGUGGAAUGAGCGGCGGACGGGUGAGUAACACGUAAGGAACCUACCUCAAGGAUUGGGAUAACUCCGAGAAAUCGGAGCUAAUACCGGAUAGUUCAACGGACCGCAUGGUCCGCUGAUGAAAGGCGCUUCGGCGUCACCUUGAGAUGGCCUUGCGGUGCAUUAGCUAGUUGGUGGGGUAACGGCCCACCAAGGCGACGAAGCAUAGCCGACCUGAGAGGGUGAUCGGCCACACUGGGACUGAGACACGGCCCAGACUCCUACGGGAGGCAGCAGUAGGGAAUCUUCCACAAUGGACGAAAGUCUGAUGGAGCAACGCCGCGUGAGUGAUGAAGGUUUUCGGAUCGUAAAACUCUGUUGUAAGGGAAGAACACGUACGAGAGGGAAUGCUCGUACCUUGACGGUACCUUACGAGAAAGCCACGGCUAACUACGUGCCAGCAGCCGCCGCCG